GUGACUGCGUACCUUUUGUAUAAUGGGUCAGCGACUUAUAUUCUGUAGCAAGGUUAACCGAAUAGGGGAGCCGGAGGGAAACCGAGUCUUAAUUGGGCGUUAAGUUGCAGGGUAUAGACCCGAAACCCGGUGAUCUAGCCAUGGGCAGGUUGAAGGUUGGGUAACACUAACUGGAGGACCGAACCGACUAAUGUUGAAAAAUUAGCGGAUGACCUGUGGCUGGGGGUGAAAGGCCAAUCAAACCGGGAGAUAGCUGGUUCUCCCCGAAAGCUAUUUAGGUAGCGCCUCGUGAAUUCAUCUCCGGGGGUAGAGCACUGUUUCGGCUAGGGGGCCAUCCCGGCUUACCAACCCGAUGCAAACUGCGAAUACCGGAGAAUGUUAUCACGGGAGACACACGGCGGGUGCUAACGUCCGUCGUGAAGAGGGAAACAACCCAGACCGCCAGCUAAGGUCCCAAAGUCAUGGUUAAGUGGGAAACGAUGUGGGAAGGCCCAGACAGCCAGGAUGUUGGCUUAGAAGCAGCCAUCAUUUAAAGAAAGCGUAAUAGCUCACUGGUCGAGUCGGCCUGCGCGGAAGAUGUAACGGGGCUAAACCAUGCACCGAAGCUGCGGCAGCGACACUCAGGUGUUGUUGGGUAGGGGAGCGUUCUGUAAGCCUGUGAAGGUGUGUCGUGAGGCAUGCUGGAGGUAUCAGAAGUGCGAAUGCUGACAUAAGUAACGAUAAAGCGGGUGAAAAGCCCGCUCGCCGGAAGACCAAGGGUUCCUGUCCAACGUUAAUCGGGGCAGGGUGAGUCGACCCCUAAGGCGAGGCCGAAAGGCGUAGUCGAUGGGAAACGGGUUAAUAUUCCCGUACUUGGUGUUACUGCGAAGGGGGGACGGAGAAGGCUAUGUUGGCCGGGCGACGGUUGUCCCGGUUUAAGCGUGUAGGUGUGUGUUCCAGGUAAAUCCGGUUCACUUUAACACUGAGGCGUGAUGACGAGGCACUACGGUGCUGAAGCAACAAAUGCCCUGCUUCCAGGAAAAGCCUCUAAGCAUCAGGUAACAUCAAAUCGUACCCCAAACCGACACAGGUGGUCAGGUAGAGAAUACCAAGGCGCUUGAGAGAACUCGGGUGAAGGAACUAGGCAAAAUGGUGCCGUAACUUCGGGAGAAGGCACGCUGACACGUAGGUGAAGUGAUUUACUCAUGGAGCUGAAGUCAGUCGAAGAUACCAGCUGGCUGCAACUGUUUAUUAAAAACACAGCACUGUGCAAACACGAAAGUGGACGUAUACGGUGUGACGCCUGCCCGGUGCCGGAAGGUUAAUUGAUGGGGUCAGCGCAAGCGAAGCUCCUGAUCGAAGCCCCGGUAAACGGCGGCCGUAACUAUAACGGUCCUAAGGUAGCGAAAUUCCUUGUCGGGUAAGUUCCGACCUGCACGAAUGGCGUAAUGAUGGCCAGGCUGUCUCCACCCGAGACUCAGUGAAAUUGAACUCGCUGUGAAGAUGCAGUGUACCCGCGGCAAGACGGAAAGACCCCGUGAACCUUUACUAUAGCUUGACACUGAACAUUGAGCCUUGAUGUGUAGGAUAGGUGGGAGGCUUUGAAGUGUGGACGCCAGUCUGCGUGGAGCCGACCUUGAAAUACCACCCUUUAAUGUUUGAUGUUCUAACGUGGACCCGUAAUCCGGGUUGCGGACAGUGUCUGGUGGGUAGUUUGACUGGGGCGGUCUCCUCCUAAAGAGUAACGGAGGAGCACGAAGGUUGGCUAAUCCUGGUCGGACAUCAGGAGGUUAGUGCAAUGGCAUAAGC
RNAcentral lists this ribosomal RNA (1788 nucleotides) under Salmonella enterica subsp. enterica serovar Anatum. RNAcentral describes it as "partial 23S ribosomal RNA". It matches the Rfam family "Bacterial large subunit ribosomal RNA", at positions 593 to 2364 of the family's 2925-position model. Lineage: Bacteria; Pseudomonadati; Pseudomonadota; Gammaproteobacteria; Enterobacterales; Enterobacteriaceae. The record is from RNAcentral.